GGAUGUUUAGUUUUGUUGUUAUAGUCACUGCGCAAACAACUUUAUCAUUUUAUAUAUAUAGACUAGCUGUGCCCGGCCACGCGUUGCUGUGGCUUAGUCUGGUGUUGGUCAGUCUACAUUAGGUUGUAUUUAUGCUGUGACCUCCACCCUUCUUUAUACUCACAUUAGUAGUAGUAUUUGAAGUCUGUUACCGUCUUCAAUUUUUGUGUUGAUUGAUAAUUGCUUGAGAUCCCUGUUGUCUUUGAUUUGUUGUUAAUUGUAAUGUCUGAUUCUGCUGAGUGCGGUUUAUAUUUUUAUUGUGGUACAAUAGUCCUUUUUUUGUUUUGCCUGUGUAGGUGUUUAUUAUUAUUGUUGUUGUUGUGGUCAUGAAGGUUGGAUAAGUUAGAUGCUACUGUAUUGUUUUUUGGAGGUCCAGUGUAGCACUGACUGGCCUCUCAGCCUCAGUGCCUGGCUGUUUCUUGCCUGUGAUGGUGUUGAUUCUUAUUGUUGUUGUUGUUGUCAUUGUUAUUAUUGUAAUUGUUUUUUUGGAGGCCAAGUGUGAAUGUAGGGAUUGGGGAGCUGGAUGAGUUGUGUUGUCAAAUUUUGUAUUUGUAAUAGUCACAAUGCGUUGUUGUGAGUUUUGUGGGUCCGGAUUGUGGUUUUGUGGUGUGGUUGUGUUGUUACAACUGAGAGGCAAGGCUUUUGUGUUGUGUGCCAAGUUUUGUAUUUCUGGGGCGUUUAGUUGUGUUGUUAUAGUCAUGAUACGUUAUUGUGAGUUUUGUGGGUCCGGAUUGUGGUUUUGUGUUGUGGUUGAGUUCCUACAACUGGGAGGCAAGGCUUUUGCGUUGUGUGCCAAGUUUCGUAUUUCUGGGACGUUUAGUUGUGUUGUUAUAGUCAUGAUGCGUUGUUGUGAGUUUUGUGGGUCCGGAUUGUUGUUUUGUGGUGUAGUUGUGUUGUUACAACCGGGAGAAAAGGCUUUUGUGUUGUGUUGUCAAGUUUCGUAUUUCUGGGGCGUUUAGUUGUGUUGUUAUAGUCACAAUGCAUUGUUGUGAGUUUUGUGGGUCCAGAUUGUGGUUUUGUGGUGUGAUUGUGUUGUUACAACCGGGAGGCAAGGUUUUUGCAUUGUGUUGUGAAGCUUUAUAUUUCUGGGGCUUUUUAGUUGUGUGCCAAGUUUCGUAUCUCUGGGACGUUUAGUUGUGUUGUUAUACUCAUGAUGCAAUGAAGUGAGUUUCGUGGGUCCAGAUCGAGAUCUGCGGUCGGAGUGUGCGUGAUACCACCCGAGA
Molecule: long non-coding RNA, 1262 nt
Filed under: Anolis carolinensis (green anole)
Lineage: Eukaryota; Metazoa; Chordata; Lepidosauria; Squamata; Anolidae
Description: lncRNA (ENSACAG00000041664.1)
Source: RNAcentral